GUAAGCAGCGCGAAGGCAUUUCCAUGAAGUGGGAGGCGUGUGCAGGUCAGCGUGCCCCUCCACGGCCCACGCUUCAGGCAUUCUGUUCAUGUUUUUACAGCUUUAACAUUUUCUGCAUAGUGAUGUCAUACAUGUAUUUUGAAACAAAAUGGGUCCUAAUAUACAAAAGGUCCUUUUUUAAAAUUACUCAACAUUGUGGCGUGCACAUUUUCGCAGUGACUGUGGACCUACUGUGUGGGUCUCCACCCCUGGCCCUGGUCUGUUGUCACUGCUCCUCCAGCAUAAACCAAAAAACAAUAAGUCCCUGAUCGGGGAGUGGGGGAGAGGUGGAGGCAGGGACAGCUCCCACAGGGAUGCGAGGGUAGGGGAAGGGCACAGAGGGAGUGACUCAGGGCUGGUGAUCUUAGUGGGAGCAGCUAAGCCCUACAUGCUUCGGGAGCUUGGCUCUAGUCACAGGUCCUGUGAGCCUGUCCUUGUAGGCAUUUCUUCGUGGAGCAAACAUCUCCAAAUGUGAAAGCCUUUCGGCACAUUUCACCAAACUGCCCCCAGAAGCUUCGAACAGGGGACACUUACCAGCCCCCAGAGGGUCCUGAGAAUCCAUCCCCCAGACCCUCAUUGGCAUCAGCUAUUGCAGGAAAACAGAGACAGAGAUGGAGAAGGAGACUCCUGAGUUCAUCAAGAAACACCUUGAUCCAGCCUUGCUUGGAACGUUGGGGUAGAUGAACAACAGGAGAAUGGACAAGACAUCAUAAAGGCGGUAAUCAUGCUUCCUUCGGCCAGAAACGGUCCCCAUCCCAUCUAUUGAUGAGAACGCAGCCAUGUGACCACAUCUCCUUGCCAGGCAGGCUGGGCAAUGUGGCUUCACCACGUACCAAGGAAGGAGGAGCAGCAACUGGUGAGCAUACAGCGCAGCACCCACUUGUGGUGCCAGACCAUCAGGUAAGGCCAGACACAGCCGGGCAGCCUGGCAGCAAGGACAACGAAACCUGGAGCUGGUUUAUCGGUGACGAGUGGAAUCUGUUUCCUGAAGAGCCUGAGAAGGCAAAGAGCCUCCUCUGCGGGAAGACGGGAGUGAGGGGCUGACUGCCGGCAUUCCAGGACAAGAAAUUCUGCCCCUCCGGGGUGCAUCCUCCUUCUUCCAUUCUCAUGGAAGUGGUCAGCGACGUCAGGAAGCUCACUCCGUGUUUUCCAAGGAAAGAACACUGGUCCUGGAAUCGGCCUGCCUCUGGUUCCAGCAGGCCCGGCCAGGCCAUCCCGGCACCUCCGCUGGCUUCUCCUCCAACCCAUCAGGCUUGGUCAGUCCUUCUCUUCCAGCGACCUCAGAGUGGCAGAGCCAUUGGUGCAGCUAUAAAUGACUGAUGGCCCGGUUGUGUUGGAGGAAUUGUAAACACCAUUCAUAAUUCAUCGGGCGGGCAUGUGCUUUGCAUUUAGAAUGGCUGGUACCCGCAGCCUGCUGCGGAGCUGCAGGGAGACCUGGUGGACGACGUCCCCUGCACCCUCCAGGGCCAGUGGCUCAGCCAGGAUUCAGGGAGGCUCUAGUGGCUGGAUUAACUCAGGGCUUCAAGGCUGGCUUUUCACAGAGCUCCAUGUUUGAGGUAUUAGCUUAUCACCUGUUACUUAAUUUUUUCCUUUCCAUCAACUACCUUAUUUUACAUAAUUCAAUUUUAAAAAGGAAAAUUUGCAUCAUUUUCCAAAAUGAAAAUCAGUAUCUACUGCCCUUAAUAUCCAGUCCCAGCGAGGAGGAGGAAGUGCAUCUCUGAUUGGCUUGAUUUGGUUGUGUGCCCAUCCCUUAUCCAAUCACUGUGAUGAGAGUGUGUGUAACUCUGAUUGGCUUGAUCUGGUCAUGUGGUUACAUGUUAUCCAAUCACUGUGAUGAGGAUGUUUGGGACUAUGAUUGGCUUGAUUUGGUCAUGUGCCCACCUCUUAUCCAAUCACCAUGAUGAGGCUGGGCUGUGUAUGACUCUGAUUGGCCAGUAAUAGGUCACAUGCUCACUGGUGAUGUGACGGGCUGGGUCAAAGUGCAGGUCACUUUCUUCAGGGAAAUCCUGAUGUUGUGACAGGAGGAAGAGGAAGAGGAGGGACAUGUCAAAUAAUAUCGCCCACGGUUCUGUUCUCUAAAUGUUCCUCUUUCUCCCACACUGCUGAGCAGAGCUGUUGAGGUCUGCAAGGAACUGCUGGUGUAAAGUGUGGGAUUGAGCCCCUGUGCUCCCCAGGUGGGCCUUGGUGAGCCCCUGAGUGUGAACACAUGCCUGGGCUGAGCCCCUGAGAGUGAGGCCCUGUGUGUGAACACCUGCUUGGGGUGAGCCCCUGAGAGUGAGCCCCUGUGAACACAUGCCUGGGCUGAGUCCCUGAGAGUGAGCCCCUGUGUGUGAACACAUUCCCGGGGUGAUCCCCUGAGAGUGAGCCCCUGAAUGUGAACACCUUCCUGGGGUGAGCCUCUGAGAGUGAGCCCCUGUGAACACUUUCCUGGGUGAGCCCCUGAGAGUGAACCUCUGUGUGUGAACACCUGCCCGGGGUGAGCCCCUGAGAGUGAGCUCCUGUGUAUGACACCUUCCUGGGGUGAGCCCCUGAGAGUGAGCCCCUGAGUGUGAACACCUGCCUGGGAUGGGCACCUGUCCAGCAUGGGCAUCUGAAUGUGGGCAUGUGAACGUAUGCACCUGAGUAUGAACAGCAUUACCAUACCAUGCUCUCUGAGGAAUUCUCACUGUGAAGUUCCUGGUAAUAAAAGUCAAUCAAAACUCCAUGUUCUAUCGACCCAGCUCCCUCCACAUUCCACAUCUUCUUUCUGGUCUUAAAACAGGAAUUAAAAGAAAUUAAAGAAUGUGUAAGCAGAAACUCAGUUGUAUGUAAGAAAACCCAGGCCGGGCGCGGUGGCUCACGCUUGUAAUCCCAGCACUUUGGGAGGCCGAGGCGGGUGGAUCACGAGGUCAGGAAAUCGAGACCACGGUGAAACCCCGUCUCUACUAAAAAAAAUAAAAAAAAAAAAAAAUUAGCCGGGCGUGGUGGCGGGCGCCUGUAGUCCCAGCUACUCGGAGAGGCUGAGGCAGGAGAAUGGAGUGAACCCGGGAGGCGGAGCUUGCAGUGAGCCGAGACUGCGCCACUGCACUCCAGCCUGGGUGACAGAGCGAGACUCCGUCUCAAAAAAAAAAAAAAAAAAAAAAAAAAAAAAAAAAAAAAGAAAACCCAAUUCCCCUUGAGAAAGAGAAAGAGCUGGAGUCCUUUAAAAAUUAACUGCCUGUUUUUCUGUGGCUAGUGAGCCUUAUCUCUCCUCCCUUCCCAGGCAUUGUGAAGACCCUGUUUCCCUAGCUGUGCAGCUGCAAGGUCACCAGACAGAUAAACUCAAGUCGCAAAACAUGUUUUUCCUUGAAAAGUAAGAAAUGAUGUAAUACAUGUCUCAGUUGAAUAACUGUCUUUGUUUCUCGCUUCUGUAAUAUGCUUCCCCCUGCACAGAUCUCCCCCCCACAACACCCCACCCCAUGAAAUGCUUAAAAGGUAACUUAACUCUUUGUUCAGGGCUCAGUCAUUGGAAUGUUAGUCCUACUGGGCCGGUGUACCUAAAUAAUAAAUAUCCUCCUCAACCCCAUCGGUCUCUGAUUCCUUAUCAAUCCUGCUACAGUCUUAGGCAGAGUCAUCAGUUGGAUAUAAAGUUUCUCGGUCUGUUUUUAGUGAACGUACAUGGAAAACACGUACAGAACUGGAAUCGUGGAAUAACUCACAUGUGGAAUUGAAUCCUAAGCACAAGUUUGGUACCAAGGUCCACACAUGAGGUGGGAAUCAUGCAGCAUGAAGUCCCCUGGGGAGUCCCACACGGACCUGCAUGGUAGCCACUGCCACCUGCCCCACCAGCCCAGCACGGCCGGCUUCACCCUGAUGCUUCUGCAGUUGAGCAGAAGAUGAUGGUGGGUAUGAACUUGGAAGCUAAACGGUCUGGAUUUGCAUCGCUGCACUUCUAUAAGCCCAUCUGUAAAACAGGUUUAUGUGGAUUCAGUAGUUGAAUAUAGGAGAAGCCGUAAGAGGGAUUCUCGGCACUUCAUAAAUUCUCGGACGAUGUUGGAAAUGACGGCAGCGAAGAGCACGAUGAUCACUGUUACAGACUACAGCUUCCCAGCUGGCAAGGUGCCCACACCCCAA
This 4131-nucleotide long non-coding RNA is filed under the name Homo sapiens (human). RNAcentral describes it as "HSALNT0197585". Lineage: Eukaryota; Metazoa; Chordata; Mammalia; Primates; Hominidae. The record is from RNAcentral.